GUUCUUACGCGGCGAACCGGAUCCUACUCUCACCAUAUGAUCGGCCACAUCAUCCCCGCCCGCCUUCCCCGGCCGUGCUUAUCUUCAAUCGCAAUUUUGAAGCAAAGAUUUUAUUCUCUCUACUUUGUUAAAAAUUUGUGUCGUUGUCUUUGUGCAAAUUGAGCUGCGAAGAGAGAUUUGGAUUCCACAGUUGAAUAGAUUAGUCUCUUUGGAG
This 214-nucleotide unclassified non-coding RNA is filed under the name Hevea brasiliensis (rubber tree). The record is from RNAcentral. Lineage: Eukaryota; Viridiplantae; Streptophyta; Magnoliopsida; Malpighiales; Euphorbiaceae.